Molecule: transfer RNA, 71 nt
Filed under: Strongylocentrotus purpuratus (purple sea urchin)
Lineage: Eukaryota; Metazoa; Echinodermata; Echinoidea; Camarodonta; Strongylocentrotidae
Description: tRNA-Gly
Rfam family: tRNA
About the family: Transfer RNA (tRNA) molecules are approximately 80 nucleotides in length.
Source: Rfam by way of RNAcentral
GCAUCGGUGGUUCAGUGGUAGAAUUCUCGCCUGCCACGCGGGUGACCCGGGUUCGAUUCCCUGCCGAUGCA